RNAcentral lists this ribosomal RNA (1294 nucleotides) under uncultured bacterium. RNAcentral describes it as "partial 16S ribosomal RNA". It matches the Rfam family "Bacterial small subunit ribosomal RNA", at positions 87 to 1399 of the family's 1533-position model. The record is from RNAcentral.
GUGACUUAGCGGCGGACGGGUGAGUAACGCGUGGGCAACCUGCCCUGUACAGGGGGACAACAGUUAGAAAUGACUGCUAAUACCGCAUAAGCGCACAGCAUCGCAUGAUGCAGUGUGAAAAACUCCGGUGGUACAGGAUGGACCCGCGUUGGAUUAGCUAGUUGGUGGGGUAACGGCCUACCAAGGCGACGAUCCAUAGCCGGCCUGAGAGGGCGACCGGCCACACUGGGACUGAGACACGGCCCAAACUCCUACGGGAGGCAGCAGUGGGGAAUAUUGCACAAUGGGGGAAACCCUGAUGCAGCGACGCCGCGUGAACGAUGAAGUAUUUCGGUAUGUAAAGUUCUAUCAGCAGGGAAGAAAAUGACGGUACCUGACUAAGAAGCCCCGGCUAACUACGUGCCAGCUGCCGCGGUAAUACGUAGGGUGCGAGCGUUGUCCGGAAUUACUGGGCGUAAGGAGCUCGUAGGCGGUUUGUCGCGUCGUCUGUGAAAUCCCGCAGCUCAACUGCGGGCUUGCAGGCGAUACGGGCAGACUCGAGUACUGCAGGGGAGACUGGAAUUCCUGGUGUAGCGGUGAAAUGCGCAGAUAUCAGGAGGAACACCGGUGGCGAAGGCGGGUCUCUGGGCAGUAACUGACGCUGAGGAGCGAAAGCGUGGGUAGCGAACAGGAUUAGAUACCCUGGUAGUCCACGCCGUAAACGGUGGGCGCUAGGUGUGGGUUUCCUUCCACGGGAUCCGUGCCGUAGCCAACGCAUUAAGCGCCCCGCCUGGGGAGUACGGCCGCAAGGCUAAAACUCAAAGGAAUUGACGGGGGCCCGCACAAGCGGCGGAGCAUGUGGAUUAAUUCGAUGCAACGCGAAGAACCUUACCUGGGUUUGACAUGUACCGGACGACCGCAGAGAUGUGGUUUCCCUUGUGGCCGGUAGACAGGUGGUGCAUGGCUGUCGUCAGCUCGUGUCGUGAGAUGUUGGGUUAAGUCCCGCAACGAGCGCAACCCUUAUGGUCAGUUUCUAACGCGUAAUGGCGAGGACUCUGACAAGACUGCCGGGGACAACUCGGAGGAAGGUGGGGACGACGUCAAAUCAUCAUGCCCCUUAUGACCUGGGCUACAAACGUGCUACAAUGGUGGUUACAAAGAGCAGCAAGACCGUAAGGUCAAGCGAAUCUCAAAAAAGCCAUCUCAGUUCGGACUGUGGGCUGCAACCCGCCCACACGAAGUUGGAGUUGCUAGUAAUCGCGGAUCAGAAUGCCGCGGUGAAUACGUUCCCGGGCCUUGUACUCAACGCCCGUCA